CACGCCGCGUGAGUGAUGAAGGUUUUCGGAUCGUAAAGCUCUGUUGUUAGGGAAGAACAAGUACCGUUCGAAUAGGGCGGUACCUUGACGGUACCUAACCAGAAAGCCACGGCUAACUACGUGCCAGCAGCCGCGGUAAUACGUAGGUGGCAAGCGUUGUCCGGAAUUAUUGGGCGUAAAGGGCUCGCAGGCGGUUUCUUAAGUCUGAUGUGAAAGCCCCCGGCUCAACCGGGGAGGGUCAUUGGAAACUGGGGAACUUGAGUGCAGAAGAGGAGAGUGGAAUUCCACGUGUAGCGGUGAAAUGCGUAGAGAUGUGGAGGAACACCAGUGGCGAAGGCGACUCUCUGGUCUGUAACUGACGCUGAGGAGCGAAAGCGUGGGGAGCGAACAGGAUUAGAUACCCUGGUAGUCCACGCCGUAAACGAUGAGUGCUAAGUGUUAGGGGGUUUCCGCCCCUUAGUGCUGCAGCUAACGCAUUAAGCACUC
This 486-nucleotide ribosomal RNA is filed under the name Bacillus subtilis. RNAcentral describes it as "bacterial SSU rRNA". It matches the Rfam family "Bacterial small subunit ribosomal RNA", at positions 393 to 869 of the family's 1533-position model. Lineage: Bacteria; Bacillati; Bacillota; Bacilli; Caryophanales; Bacillaceae. The record is from RNAcentral.